Molecule: ribosomal RNA, 211 nt
Filed under: uncultured bacterium
Lineage: Bacteria
Description: partial 16S ribosomal RNA
Rfam family: Bacterial small subunit ribosomal RNA
Source: RNAcentral
UGUCUCAGUUCGGAUUGGAGUCUGCAACCCGACUCCAUGAAGCUGGAUUCGCUAGUAAUCGCGCAUCAGCCACGGCGCGGUGAAUACGUUCCCCGGGCCUUGUACACACCGCCCGUCAAGCCAUGGAAGCCGGGGGUGCCUGAAGUGCGCUGCCGCAAGGGAGCGCCCUAGGGUAAAACCGGUGACUGGGGCUAAGUCGUAACAAGGUACC